RNAcentral lists this unclassified non-coding RNA (236 nucleotides) under Athalia rosae (coleseed sawfly). Its description in RNAcentral is "misc RNA ENSAEAG00005001241.1". The record is from RNAcentral. Lineage: Eukaryota; Metazoa; Arthropoda; Insecta; Hymenoptera; Athaliidae.
GCUUUCAAUUGGUCAUCAUGGUCGCUAAUUCGUCGUAGUACUUAUACAACUUCCAACCACGAAAGGCAGAGGUUACAUGGCAUCGCACAAUUCGUUUACAGAUCCAUGUCUCUACCGGAACAAUAAGAAGAGGAGUCGAUCUUCGGAGUGACUCGUUGAUGUCCUGAUUUGGUUCCAUGGCCCAAUGCUCAUCUACCAGAAAGAAAUAAAGAUAUCACAUGUACAAUCAAAAUCAC